AGCAGCCGCGGUAAUUCCAGCUCCAAUAGCGUAUAUUAAAGUUGCUGCAGUUAAAAAGCUCGUAGUUGAAUUUCGGGACCAUCAUGUCGGUCGUGCCUCGGUACGUACUGGCAUUAUCGAUUCCUACCUUCUGAAGAACCUCGAUGUCAUUAAUUUGGUGUCUUGGGAAAUCAGGACUGUUACUUUGAAAAAUUAGAGUGUUUAAAGCAGGCUCACGCUUGAAUACAUUAGCAUGGAAUAAUGAAAUAGGACGUUCGAUCCUAUUUUGUUGGUUUUAGGAUCAACGUAAUGAUUAAUAGGGAUAGUUGGGGGCAUUAGUAUUCAAUUGUCAGAGGUGAAAUUCUUGGAUUUAUUGAAGACUAACUACUGCGAAAGCAUUUGCCAAGGAUGUUUUCAUUAAUCAAGAACGAAAGUUAGGGGAUCGAAGACGAUCAGAUACCGUCGUAGUCUUAACCAUAAACUAUGCCGACUAGGGAUCGGAUGAUGUUAAUUUUUAAUGACUCAUUCGGCGU
Molecule: ribosomal RNA, 512 nt
Filed under: uncultured Glomus
Lineage: Eukaryota; Fungi; Glomeromycota; Glomeromycetes; Glomerales; Glomeraceae
Description: SSU rRNA
Rfam family: Eukaryotic small subunit ribosomal RNA
Source: RNAcentral